RNAcentral lists this ribosomal RNA (376 nucleotides) under uncultured bacterium. Its description in RNAcentral is "bacterial SSU rRNA". It matches the Rfam family "Bacterial small subunit ribosomal RNA", at positions 524 to 898 of the family's 1533-position model. The record is from RNAcentral.
UACAGAGGGUGCAAGCGUUGCUCGGAAUUAUUGGGCGUAAAGGGGAAGUAGGUUGUCUUGUUUGUCUGGGGUGAAAUCCCUGAGCUUAACUCAGGAAGUGCCUCGGAAACGGCAAGACUAGAGUUCUGGAGAGGGUCGCGGAAUUCCCGGUGUAGCAGUGAAAUGCGUAGAUAUCGGGAGGAACACCAGAGGCGAAAGCGGCGGCCUGGACAGAUACUGACACUCAAUUCCGAAAGCGUGGGGAUCAAACAGGAUUAGAUACCCUGGUAGUCCACGCUGUAAACGAUUGGUACUAGACUUGGCGGGUUUUGACCCCUGCUGAGUCGGAGCUAACGCAAUAAGUACCACGCCUGAGGAGUACGGUCGCAAGAUUAAA